AGGGGGGGGGCCUUAACAAUGCAAGUCGAGCGGAUGAAAGGAGCUUGCUCCUGGAUUCAGCGGCGGACGGGUGAGUAAUGCCUAGGAAUCUGCCUGGUAGUGGGGGACAACGUUUCGAAAGGAACGCUAAUACCGCAUACGUCCUACGGGAGAAAGCAGGGGACCUUCGGGCCUUGCGCUAUCAGAUGAGCCUAGGUCGGAUUAGCUAGUUGGUGAGGUAAUGGCUCACCAAGGCGACGAUCCGUAACUGGUCUGAGAGGAUGAUCAGUCACACUGGAACUGAGACACGGUCCAGACUCCUACGGGAGGCAGCAGUGGGGAAUAUUGGACAAUGGGCGAAAGCCUGAUCCAGCCAUGCCGCGUGUGUGAAGAAGGUCUUCGGAUUGUAAAGCACUUUAAGUUGGGAGGAAGGGCAGUAAAUUAAUACUUUGCUGUUUUGACGUUACCGACAGAAUAAGCACCGGCUAACUCUGUGCCAGCAGCCGCGGUAAUACAGAGGGUGCAAGCGUUAAUCGGAAUUACUGGGCGUAAAGCGCGCGUAGGUGGUUUGUUAAGUUGGAUGUGAAAUCCCCGGGCUCAACCUGGGAACUGCAUCCAAAACUGGCAAGCUAGAGUAUGGUAGAGGGUGGUGGAAUUUCCUGUGUAGCGGUGAAAUGCGUAGAUAUAGGAAGGGAACACCAGUGGCGAAGGCGACCACCUGGGACUGAUACUGACACUGAGUGCGAAAGCGUGGGGAGCAACAGGAUUAGAUACCCUGGUAGUCCACGCCGUAAACGAUGUCACUAGCCGUUGGGAGCCUUGAGCUCUAUUGCGCAGCUACGCAUAAGUGACCGCCCUGGGGGAGUACGGCCGCCAG
This 856-nucleotide ribosomal RNA is filed under the name Pseudomonas sp. RNAcentral's name for it is "bacterial SSU rRNA". It matches the Rfam family "Bacterial small subunit ribosomal RNA", at positions 37 to 892 of the family's 1533-position model. Lineage: Bacteria; Pseudomonadati; Pseudomonadota; Gammaproteobacteria; Pseudomonadales; Pseudomonadaceae. The record is from RNAcentral.